AUGCUUAAAAUUGAUCUUGCUAAAGCGUUCGAUCAUCUUGAAUGGAGUUUCAUUGUUUCUGCGCUUACACAUAAAGGGCUGCAUAGUCAUUUUAUAAAUUUAGUUCAUGCAUGCAUCUCUUCGCCCACGUUUUCUGUUGUUAUUAAUGGUCAACCAUCUCAUAAGUUUAAAAAUUCUCGGGGUAUUCGACAAGGUUGUCCUAUGUCUCCUUAUUUAUUUGUCCUUGCUAUUAAUGAAUUGUCCAUUGCUCUUAAUGAGGCUCUUGCAGCUCAUCAUCUUCAGGGCAUUUCCCUUGGACCAAACUGCCCCUCCAUUCACUCAAUAUUUUUGCAGAUGACUUGUUGGUUUGUGGACAGGCCACUCUUCAGGAGGCUACCACUAUGGCUAAUCUGA
This 393-nucleotide ribosomal RNA is filed under the name Triticum aestivum (bread wheat). Its description in RNAcentral is "partial small subunit ribosomal RNA". The record is from RNAcentral. Lineage: Eukaryota; Viridiplantae; Streptophyta; Magnoliopsida; Poales; Poaceae.